CAACCAGACUCCUACGGGAGGCAGCAGUGGGGGAUAUUGCACAAUGGGGGAAACCCUGAUGCAGCGACGCCGCGUGAGUGAAGAGGUAUUUCGGUAUGUAAAGCUCUAUCAGCAGGAAAGAAAAUGACGGUACCUGACUAAGAAGCCCCGGCUAACUACGUGCCAGCAGCCGCGGUAAUACGUAGGGGGCAAGCGUUAUCCGGAUUUACUGGGCGUAAAGGGAGCGCAGGCGGCGCGCCAAGUCUGAUGUGAAACCCCGGGGCUCAACCCCGGGCAUGCAUUGGAAACUGGCGGGCUGGAGUGCCGGAGAGGUAAGCGGAAUUCCUAGUGUAGCGGUGAAAUGCGUAGAUAUUAGGAGGAACACCAGUGGCGAAGGCGGCUUACUGGACGGCAACUGACGCUGAGGCUCGAAAGCGUGGGGAGCAAACAGGAUUAGAUACCCGAGUAA
Molecule: ribosomal RNA, 448 nt
Filed under: uncultured bacterium
Lineage: Bacteria
Description: partial 16S ribosomal RNA
Rfam family: Bacterial small subunit ribosomal RNA
Source: RNAcentral